CGGGGCGUGGCUCAGCUUGGUAGAGCGCUUCGUUCGGGACGAAGAGGUCGCACGUUCAAAUCGUGUCGCCCCGACCA
RNAcentral lists this transfer RNA (77 nucleotides) under Vulcanimicrobiaceae bacterium. Its description in RNAcentral is "tRNA-Pro". It matches the Rfam family "tRNA". From Rfam's summary of the family: Transfer RNA (tRNA) molecules are approximately 80 nucleotides in length. Their secondary structure includes four short double-helical elements and three loops (D, anti-codon, and T loops). The record is from RNAcentral. Lineage: Bacteria; Bacillati; Vulcanimicrobiota; Vulcanimicrobiia; Vulcanimicrobiales; Vulcanimicrobiaceae. RNAcentral also lists the same sequence under 2 other names.